This 513-nucleotide long non-coding RNA is filed under the name Trifolium pratense (red clover). RNAcentral's name for it is "long non-coding RNA (TPRA_LNC004476)". Lineage: Eukaryota; Viridiplantae; Streptophyta; Magnoliopsida; Fabales; Fabaceae. The record is from RNAcentral.
ACCUAACAUAGCCUUCUUCCUCACAUAUCAUCACCCUAAAGAUAAGCAAUUUAUCAAUAAACCCAGAUGAAUGUAGCUCUCAAAUUGAAGUUAGAUAACGUAAAGAUAGUUUUUUUGUUUGUUGAAAUUGAUUGAAUUGAGAUAGAAAAUGAGAAAGGGAACUGACCAAGACUAACACCCUGAGUGAGGACCUGACGGAUCUGAAGAGAUUUGAUAGAAUCGACGGUGUCACCGACGAAACCCAUUGCUUUGUUUCUUGUGAUUCUGAGAGAGUGUUGUUGCUUCUUCUUGUUUAUGCUAACACCACCAAGUUGUUGUUGUUCUACCAGUUUUGUUUUGUUGAGUGAGUGACUCUUUUCUUUGCGUUUUGGUUUUCGCCGGUUAACAAAUAGACAGAGCCAAACACCAAACAAAUGCCAAUUUUUUACAACAAACAAACGUUUUUUAAUUUUUAAAUUUUAACUUUAAGUAUUUUUUUUAACUUAAAUGAUUUACCUAGUAAGCAUCCAUGUA